UACGAAGGGGGCUAGCGUUGCUCGGAAUCACUGGGCGUAAAGGGUGCGUAGGCGGGUCUUUUAAGUCAGGGGUGAAAUCCUGGAGCUCAACUCCAGAACUGCCUUUGAUACUGAAGAUCUCGAGUCCGGGAGAGGUGAGUGGAACUGCGAGUGUAGAGGUGAAAUUCGUAGAUAUUCGCAAGAACACCAGUGGCGAAGGCGGCUCACUGGCCCGGUACUGACGCUGAGGUGCGAAAGCGUGGGGAGCAAACAGG
Molecule: ribosomal RNA, 254 nt
Filed under: uncultured bacterium
Lineage: Bacteria
Description: partial 16S ribosomal RNA
Rfam family: Bacterial small subunit ribosomal RNA
Source: RNAcentral